UCGGGUUGUAAAGCACUUUUGUCCGGAAAGAAAACCUCUGCCCUAAUACGGCGGGGGGAUGACGGUACCGGAAGAAUAAGCACCGGCUAACUACGUGCCAGCAGCGCGGUAAUCGUAGGGUGCAAGCGUUAAUCGGAAUUACUGGGCGUAAAGCGUGCGCAGGCGGUUCGUUAAGACAGAUGUGAAAUCCCCGGGCUUAACCUGGGAACUGCAUUUGUGACUGGCGGACUCGAGUAUGGCAGAGGGGGGUAGAAUUCCACGUGUAGCAGUGAAAUGCGUAGAGAUGUGGAGGAAUACCGAUGGCGAAGGCAGCCCCCUGGGCCAAUACUGACGCUCAUGCACGAAAGCGUGGGGAGCAAACAGGAUUAGAUACCCUGGUAGUCCACGCCCUAAACGAUGUCAACUGGUUGUCGGGCCUUCAUUGGCUUGGUAACGUAGCUAACGCGUGAAGUUGACCGCCUGGGGAGUACGGUCGCAAGAUUAAAACUCAAAGGAAUUGACGGGGACCCGCACAAGCGGUGGAUGAAGGUGGAUUAAUUCGAUGCAACGCGAAAAACCUUACCUACCCUUGACAUGUACGGAACCUGGCUG
This 591-nucleotide ribosomal RNA is filed under the name uncultured Burkholderia sp. RNAcentral describes it as "bacterial SSU rRNA". It matches the Rfam family "Bacterial small subunit ribosomal RNA", at positions 418 to 1003 of the family's 1533-position model. Lineage: Bacteria; Pseudomonadati; Pseudomonadota; Betaproteobacteria; Burkholderiales; Burkholderiaceae. The record is from RNAcentral.